UUGUGAAACAUUUCAUGUUUUUUACGUCUUUCUGAUAGUAACUCCCAUCCUGUUUCGUUGUAUAAUUUGUUUAUGGACGAUGACUUAGUACCGCCAGUAACUAUCAAUGCCGCUUCAAAUUGCAUAUUUUCUAGUUUCAAAUGAAAAUAGAUUUUUUCGCAGUGUUAUAGAUUCGUCGUUUGUCUUACCCUUACUUGAUAUUAUAUGAGAAAUUCUGAAGUUUAUCCAUCAUGUUUAUUUAUUGGUCUUUGUAAACCGGGAAUUUUGAAAAUCUGUUCAUCGGUCUGAUCAUAGUUCCCUUUACUUCCUGAAUACGUUUAGCGAAGAUUUGAUAGUAUAAAAUUAGUUUAAUAAUUUCCUAAAACCGGUAUGCA
This 374-nucleotide long non-coding RNA is filed under the name Mytilus galloprovincialis (Mediterranean mussel). The record is from RNAcentral. Lineage: Eukaryota; Metazoa; Mollusca; Bivalvia; Mytilida; Mytilidae.